Anolis carolinensis (green anole) is the source of this 500-nucleotide long non-coding RNA. RefSeq lists it as uncharacterized. The record is from RefSeq and is a predicted model, not a curated record. Lineage: Eukaryota; Metazoa; Chordata; Lepidosauria; Squamata; Anolidae. The transcript has 3 exons.
AAUUACUUUCCUCACCUGUGUAGACCUGCGAGUUUGGCGAGCUUGUCUGGAUCGUGCCUUUCUCAGAGAUUCUGCUUCUUCAUCGCGUACUGGAGUUAAAUACGACCUAAAAGAAUGGAGUGGAAAAUGAGAAACUAUGCAAAGAUGGCCUGGAGCAGAUGUGGGCAACCUCUGGCCCAGCCAACCAGAUGUCCUGCUGAAUGUCAGUUCCCAUAGGUUUCAACUUGCAUGUCCAAUCAUCAAGGAUUAUGGGAACCCUGAAACAUCUGGAGGACCACAUAUUUCCCAACACUAGGUCAUAUCUGCAACUGGGAAUCUGACGCAAAGCAAUGCAUUCAAUGGAAUGAAGUAACAUUUCCCAGAAGCUGUCAUAAAUACCUCCUCCUGAAGAGCCAGCUAUGCAACAAAUCCCUAUGUACUUAUGAAAAAAUGUUCAGGUGUAACUUGGGCAACCUUUCUGAGGAAAACUUGUUAAAAUAAAACAAUUCUGUUGUAUUUUA